AUUGAACGCUGGCGGCAUGCCUUACACAUGCAAGUCGAACGGCAGCGCGGGGCAACCUGGCGGCGAGUGGCGAACGGGUGAGUAAUAUAUCGGAACAUACCCUAGAGUGGGGGAUAACGUAGCGAAAGUUACGCUAAUACCGCAUACGCACUAAGGUGGAAAGUGGGGGAUCUUCGGACCUCAUGCUCAUGGAGUGGCCGAUAUCUGAUUAGCUAGUUGGUGAGGUAAAGGCUCGCCAAGGCGACGAUCAGUAGCUGGUUUGAGAGAACGACCAGCCACACUGGAACUGAGACACGGUCCAGACUCCUACGGAGGCAGCAGUGGGGAAUUUUGGGACAAUGGGGGCAACCCUGAUCCAGCAAUGCCGCGUGAGUGAAGAAGGCC
This 384-nucleotide ribosomal RNA is filed under the name uncultured bacterium. RNAcentral describes it as "bacterial SSU rRNA". It matches the Rfam family "Bacterial small subunit ribosomal RNA", at positions 30 to 416 of the family's 1533-position model. The record is from RNAcentral.